RNAcentral lists this unclassified non-coding RNA (168 nucleotides) under uncultured Basidiomycota. RNAcentral describes it as "sequence contains ITS1". The record is from RNAcentral. Lineage: Eukaryota; Fungi; Basidiomycota.
CCGAGUACCGGGGCUUCGGUCCCUACUCCAACCCAAUGUUUAAUUUUCUUGUUGCUUUGGCGGACCGGUGGCCUCGGCCACCGCCGGCCUCGCGCUGGAGAGCGUCCGCCAGUGGCCAUUUUAAAAACUCUUCUUCACCUCGAGUCUGAGUUAAAACAAAAAGAAUCA